GAAGCCUUUCUUCCCCACGAUUAUCUUGUCCAGAGCUUGGCGAGUAGAAAUUAUUGAUAUCUCGAGUUGCAAUCAGUUGGGAAUCAUAGACUGCUCUUCUAGCUUGUCCUCAUCACUCUCAGUGCUUCGAGAUAGGCCUCUUCUUCCCCUUAUAACACACAAUUGCAAUUAAAAUCCUAUGUUUAAUUUCAAGUAUGCUAUCCUAAUAUGGUAAAUAAACAAAAGACGAAGGCAGGCAAGCUCCAGUUCAGAGAUUGAAGUUUCCAACAGAAUGGGGCCAGCGUGGUUCAUUGCCAGUCUAGGAAAGAUUAAAAGUUCAUAAUUUUACAUCAUGAACAUAAGAACAACUUAUCUAGAACGACUACAUGAAUGGUUAUCUCUUAACAACCUUCAAGGAUGAUAUAUUCGAACGAUUUCCCGAAGAAAAGACUUCCAAAUGAUUAAAAGCUGCUGGUGCCAAAACAGAGAAUAGAGAGCGAAUCUACCGAUUACGGCUUAGUGCCAUGCUCAGCUCGUAACUACGUGACGGUGACAAACAUAAAAGCACUUCUUAACAAGAAUCGAAUCAAACAAAUGUUAAAUGCACCAGUCAGGAAAGUCUACUAAAUAGCCAUUUACCUCUUCGUCUUCAUUGGGAACAGAAGCGUCAUCAACUAUUGGGUGCUUUAUCGACAACUAUCUUGCCAGCUUCCAUCUCCUCCUAGAUUUUAACAGAAGACAUUUAAGAAUUCAUAAAAAAAAUGUCAUUUCUUAACUCAGCU
Molecule: long non-coding RNA, 761 nt
Filed under: Populus tremula
Lineage: Eukaryota; Viridiplantae; Streptophyta; Magnoliopsida; Malpighiales; Salicaceae
Description: long non-coding RNA (PTRE_LNC001531)
Source: RNAcentral